GAGCCUAUCACUUUGUCCAUGCCACCCCUUUCACAAGCUUCCUCUUUUUCUCUGGCCCCAAACAAACCAACUCUUGGUCUUCUUUCACAUUUCUUUCUCUGCGGGGGCUCUGCCUGUUUUUUUCAAAGCAAUGAGAUAAGAAAGUUUACAUUCCUAAUAAUAAACUUCAAUACACAUAAAACUACCCCAGAAAGGCAUUCCAGGAGAUGUUAAUAUUUGGGAAAAUAAAUGCGUAUUUAAAAAAGCAGUAUCUCUCAUGAUUUUAAAGUACAGUCCAAAUCUUGCACUCUUCUUGCAGACAGCUUCUCAUGUGCUGCUUUGGAAGUUUUGCUGGAGAAAGGCUGCAGGAUUUGUUUCAGUAACAAGCUUUCUGAAAUAAAGAGUUGGAUUUCCACACAGAUAAAAUCCACUCUGCUACCUGGAUAUUCUGCAGCUACGACAUGAGAUAGAGAAGCAAAGAAACACAAUAUACAGGUAACUUCUUAGAGAGAGAAAAGGGUUUGAAGACAUUUGAAAGGAAAAAAGAAUGAAUGGGUAUCUGAGUCACUGGGAUCCUCACUUUUAAAAUCUGUGAUGUUCAUGAGUACCAUCCUCACAGUCUAGAAAGUUAAUAUGUAAUUCCAUGUGCUGUGCAAGCGUCACUUCCCUCCAGAGCGUCGUUCUUCCCCCCUUCAAAUAAUUUCCUAAUGUCUCCACUGUUCAUUUCCCUCGUCACUACUUUCUGUCUUGCUGAGGUCUGAUCUGGUUGCAUGUUCUAUAUCAUGUCCUUCUCUUGAAAAACACAUUCAUAUGACAAUUAUUGCAGCUUUCUCCUAUGGCACCAGGAACUCUCAGUUGAGUGCUACUGACUGCACACAAAGAGGCACAGAUAGAGACAACUGGCUUCUGUAAGUGUGCAGCUUACAUCUACUCACAUCCCAGGGCGCAGAUUUCUUUUGGAAGUACAAUUUACAUGAGGGUGCACAAGAAAAAUUUAAAUAUUGGGUAUGGAGCACACGAUCUAAAACUGAAUGACUUCGGAAAUACA
Molecule: long non-coding RNA, 1027 nt
Organism: Pezoporus flaviventris
Lineage: Eukaryota; Metazoa; Chordata; Aves; Psittaciformes; Psittacidae
Exons: 2
Source: RefSeq, a predicted model, not a curated record